This 654-nucleotide ribosomal RNA is filed under the name uncultured archaeon. RNAcentral's name for it is "bacterial SSU rRNA". It matches the Rfam family "Archaeal small subunit ribosomal RNA", at positions 508 to 1160 of the family's 1478-position model. The record is from RNAcentral.
GCCUAAAGCGUCCGUAGCCGGCUUUGUAAGUUUUCGGUUAAAUCUAUAUGCUCAACAUAUAGGCCGCCGGGAAUACUGCAAAGCUAGGGAGUGGGAGAGGUAGACGGUACUCCGUAGGAAGGGGUAAAAUCCUUUGAUCUAUGGAUGACCACCUGUGGCGAAGGCGGUCUACCAGAACACGUUCGACGGUGAGGGAUGAAAGCUGGGGGAGCAAACCGGAUUAGAUACCCGGGUAGUCCCAGCUGUAAACUAUGCAAACUCAGUGAUGCAUUGGCUUGUGGCCAGUGCAGUGCCGCAGAGAAGUCGUUAAGUUUGCCGCCUGGGAAGUACGUACGCAAGUAUGAAACUUAAAGGAAUUGGCGGGGGAGCACCACAAGGGGUGAAGCCUGCGGUUUAAUUGGAGUCAACGCCAGAAAUCUUACCCGGAGAGACAGCAGGAUGAAGGUCAAGCUGAAGACUUUACCAGACAAGCUGAGAAGUGGUGCAUGGCCGUCGCCAGCUCGUGCCGUGAGGUGUCCUGUUAAGUCAGGUAACGAGCGAGAUCCUUGCCUCUAGUUGCCACCAUUACUCUCAGGAGUAGUGGGGCGAAUUAGCGGGACUGCCGUAGUUAAUACGGAGGAAGGAGAGGGCCACGGCAGGUCAGUAUGCCCCGAA